GGCGGGGUAGCUCAGUUGGUUAGAGCAACGGAAUCAUAAUCCGUGUGUCGAGGGUUCAAUUCCCCCCCCCGCUA
RNAcentral lists this transfer RNA (74 nucleotides) under Spirochaetota bacterium. RNAcentral describes it as "Spirochaetes bacterium (hot springs metagenome) tRNA-Met". It matches the Rfam family "tRNA". From Rfam's summary of the family: Transfer RNA (tRNA) molecules are approximately 80 nucleotides in length. Their secondary structure includes four short double-helical elements and three loops (D, anti-codon, and T loops). Further hydrogen bonds mediate the characteristic L-shaped molecular structure. tRNAs have two regions of fundamental functional importance: the anti-codon, which is responsible for specific mRNA codon recognition, and the 3' end, to which the tRNAs corresponding amino acid is attached (by aminoacyl-tRNA synthetases). tRNAs cope with the degeneracy of the genetic code in two manners: having more than one tRNA (with a specific anti-codon) for a particular amino acid; and 'wobble' base-pairing, i.e. permitting non-standard base-pairing at the 3rd anti-codon position. The record is from RNAcentral. Lineage: Bacteria; Pseudomonadati; Spirochaetota.